AGAAAUAAUAAAGAAAAAGAAAAAAGAGAAAGAAAAGAAAAGUUGAUGUUAUGGGAGAAUGUGCUUAGGCCCGUAAGAAUAGGCAAGGAUCUUAAAAAUCUGGGAGGUCUAUGCCCAGAAUGAAGUUCAGAAUGACCUUAGCCUCGUACCAAAAAUUCUCACCUUAUGCCUUAAGCCACGUUACAACCCAUAGAAGACCUAAUGAGACGCAC
RNAcentral lists this long non-coding RNA (212 nucleotides) under Salvia miltiorrhiza (redroot sage). RNAcentral describes it as "long non-coding RNA (SMIL_LNC003389)". The record is from RNAcentral. Lineage: Eukaryota; Viridiplantae; Streptophyta; Magnoliopsida; Lamiales; Lamiaceae.